AUCAUGGAUAACCACAGCUCAGUGCCUUGGGCCAGUGCCGCCAGUGUCACCUGUCUCUCCCUGGAUGCCAAAUGCCACAGUUCCAGUUCCAGUUCCAGCUCCAAAUCCGCAGCGAGCUCCAUCUCCGCAAUCCCGCAAGAAGAAACGCAAACGAUGCGCCACAUUGCGCAUACGCAGCGUUGCCUCAGCAGGCUGACCUCUCUGGUGGCCCUGCUGCUGAUCGUCUUGCCGAUGGUCUUUAGCCCGGCUCACAGCUGCGGUCCUGGCCGAGGAUUGGGUCGUCAUAGGGCGCGCAACCUGUAUCCGCUGGUCCUCAAGCAGACAAUUCCCAAUCUAUCCGAGUACACGAACAGCGCCUCCGGACCUCUGGAGGGUGUGAUCCGUCGGGACUCGCCCAAAUUCAAGGACCUCGUGCCCAACUACAACAGGGACAUCCUUUUCCGCGACGAGGAAGGCACCGGAGCGGAUCGCUUGAUGAGCAAGGUAAGGAAAACCCUCAAACACCGUAAGCUAGUAACAAAAUUUGUAAUACAUCAUUGGGAAAGUUUCGCUUAUCGGAAUCAUUGUGACAAAGUGACU
This 579-nucleotide unclassified non-coding RNA is filed under the name Drosophila melanogaster (fruit fly). Its description in RNAcentral is "ORF1". The record is from RNAcentral. Lineage: Eukaryota; Metazoa; Arthropoda; Insecta; Diptera; Drosophilidae.